CUGGGAUGGGUUAUGGAGAAGGCAAUACAGAGCAGGGAGUUUUGGGGGGGCUUCUCCUUGCCUUGGGUCAGUGCCCAAGGGGCCCUUCAUCCCCCUCCAACGUUGUCCCCCUGGCUGGAAGGCAGCAAGCUGCUACAACUGGCCUCAAUGCAGGCUUUCCAGCACGCAGGAAACAGGAAGGAGCGUUAUUUCUCAACAUAGAACAAACAGAAGACAGAAUUAACUCUAUCUUAAAGCUGCAUUACCACCCUGCUAUUCGCUUCCUGACUUCAGCUCAAGUGCCUACAGGCCCUGUCCUGCUAAGCUCUGUACAAGGCCUGACAUUUGACACCCAAGACCCCAGGACUUACACAGAGGCACAAGCGGAGGCCCUGGGGAAGAGCUCCAUGGUCACAGGACACCAGCUUUGGCCGUACUACAUUGUCAUUCAUUCCUCCCUGCCACACGCGUGCCUGACCAUAUAGGAAAAUGAGUUUACAACCGACUACGCCUAUGGGACUCCCGGAGGGAUACAAUGUGAGAGCCUUUACUAGUGGUGGAUGGUCCUCAAAAGGUUUGAAAGUUUGGUAAGUACGUCCUUAACCAAACUCUUUUGACCUUUAUUCAGAUUUGUUUUUGGAGAAGGGCAAAGGGUUGGGCCAAUUCUUGUUUCACCCAACUGGCUUGUCC
This 669-nucleotide long non-coding RNA is filed under the name Phasianus colchicus (ring-necked pheasant). RNAcentral's name for it is "lncRNA (ENSPCLG00000004943.1)". Lineage: Eukaryota; Metazoa; Chordata; Aves; Galliformes; Phasianidae. The record is from RNAcentral.